AAACUGCGAUAAUUAAUGUGAAUUGCAGAAUUCUGUGAAUCAUCAAGACCUUGAACGCAAACUGCGCCUACGGGUCCACCUGUAGGCACGCUUGUUUGAGUGUCGAUUCAUUCACUAUCCUUUUUCCUCUUUCCAUGGGAGGAAGAAAAAAAAGGGAAUUGGAGGUGUGGUGUUUUUAAAAAAAUCACUCCUUUUAAGUUUAUCUUCGAACUUUGCUUUUCAAAAAAAAACGAUCAAUCUUUAGCAAAGAGGUCCCAGCCAGUAGGUACCAAUACGUUGGUUUAUCGAAAAGCUCAUAUCUCUCUUGCCUAACUUUUGACUUACGUUUUGGAGCAAAAUUUUUUAACAAGUUCGAAAAAAGGAAAGAAUCACAAAAGAUUUUUUUUUGAGGAAGGUUUUCCUCUCCUCAACCAAUUUCGACCUCAAAUCAAGUGGGAUUACCCGCUGAAUUUAAGC
Molecule: unclassified non-coding RNA, 456 nt
Filed under: plant metagenome
Description: partial contains internal transcribed spacer 2 and large subunit ribosomal RNA
Rfam family: 5.8S ribosomal RNA (bases 1-105)
Source: RNAcentral